GACGAACGCUGGCGGCGUGCCUAAUACAUGCAAGUAGAACGCUGAAGGAGGAGCUUGCUCUUCUGGAUGAGUUGCGAACGGGUGAGUAACGCGUAGGUAACCUGCCUGGUAGCGGGGGAUAACUAUUGGAAACGAUAGCUAAUACCGCAUAAGAGUAGAUGUUGCAUGACAUUUACUUAAAAGGUGCAAUUGCAUCACUACCAGAUGGACCUGCGUUGUAUUAGCUAGUUGGUGGGGUAACGGCUUACCAAGGCGACGAUACAUAGCCGACCUGAGAGGGGGAUCGGCCACACUGGGACUGAGACACGGCCCAGACUCCUACGGGAGGCAGCAGUAGGGAAUCUUCGGCAAUGGACGGAAGUCUGACCGAGCAACGCCGCGUGAGUGAAGAAGGUGUUCGGAGCGUAAAGCUCUGUUGUAAGAGAAGAACGAGUGUGAGAGUGGAAAGGUCACACUGUGACGGUAGCUUACCAGAAAGGGACGGCUAACUACGUGC
Molecule: ribosomal RNA, 496 nt
Filed under: uncultured bacterium
Lineage: Bacteria
Description: partial 16S ribosomal RNA
Rfam family: Bacterial small subunit ribosomal RNA
Source: RNAcentral